GACGAACGCUGGCGGCGUGCCUAAUACAUGCAAGUCGAGCGGACUUUCAAGAAGCUUGCUUUUUGAAAGUUAGCGGCGGACGGGUGAGUAACACGUGGGCAACCUGCCUGCAAGACGGGGAUAACUCCGGGAAACCGGGGCUAAUACCGGAUAAUAUCUUCCUUCGCAUGAAGGAAGGUUGAAAGGCGGCGCAAGCUGCCGCUUGCAGAUGGGCCCGCGGCGCAUUAGCUAGUUGGUGAGGUAACGGCUCACCAAGGCGACGAUGCGUAGCCGACCUGAGAGGGUGAUCGGCCACACUGGGACUGAGACACGGCCCAGACUCCUACGGGAGGCAGCAGUAGGGAAUCUUCCGCAAUGGACGAAAGUCUGACGGAGCAACGCCGCGUGAGCGAAGAAGGGCUUCGGAUCGUAAAGCUCUGUUGUCAGGGAAGAACAAGUACCGUUCGAACAGGGCGGUACCUUGACGGUACCUGACCAGAAAGCCACGGCUAACUACGUG
Molecule: ribosomal RNA, 499 nt
Filed under: uncultured bacterium
Lineage: Bacteria
Description: partial 16S ribosomal RNA
Rfam family: Bacterial small subunit ribosomal RNA
Source: RNAcentral